RNAcentral lists this long non-coding RNA (607 nucleotides) under Nicotiana benthamiana. Its description in RNAcentral is "long non-coding RNA (NBEN_LNC035793)". The record is from RNAcentral. Lineage: Eukaryota; Viridiplantae; Streptophyta; Magnoliopsida; Solanales; Solanaceae.
CAUGACAAACUUGUAACAUGUAUACUGCCGAAAGUAUGAAUCAAGCAACCGUAGUGUCAUUGAAAAUGCUUAAUAUUUCUCUCAACAACAACAUGCUCUCAACACUCUUUUCCCUCAACAAAACAAACACAAUCCCCUCAUUCCCCUCACAAAAUAAGCACAAUCCCCUCUCUAUCCUCACAUAAGAAGCACAAUCCUCACCCUCUAUCACAUAGUAACUUUCUCAUCCGUUGAUCAUCAUCCUAUACUCCAAGAUAUCAAUGGCCACAAUUUUAACCCUUCCAUAACCCCAAAACCCAUAAGCUCUAUAUAAUAAUGUGCACUUGCCCACGAUCAGGAGCUCUUGUAUUCUUGGUUCAAAGUACUAAUCUCUUCUCCCGAUCUUAGAGAAGAGUAAAAUAAAUUUGGGUCACGACUGCAAGAGCUACUCGGUACACUUAUUACACUUUCCUGUAUAUCCAUAACAUGCACCCAAUAAUUUGUGUUGUUUUAGCAACCCUUUUAUGAAAACUCAACAACAACAUGUUCUGUAUUUCUUCUUUUCUUAUACUUUCUCUCUGAUUUUGAGAAAUGGUGUAUCUAUGUAAUUUGCUUUAAGACCGGUGUA